AUUGAACGCUGGCGGCAUGCUUUACACAUGCAAGUCGAACGGCAGCACGAGUGCUUGCACUUGGUGGCGAGUGGCGAACGGGUGAGUAAUGCAUCGGAACAUGUCCUAGAGUGGGGGAUAACGCAUUGAAAAAUGUGCUAAUACCGCAUAAUCUUCGAGAAGAAAAGCAGGGGAUCGCAAGACCUUGUGCUUUAGGAGUGGCCGAUGUCUGAUUAGCUAGUUGGUAAGGUAAAAGCUUACCAAGGCGACGAUCAGUAGCUGGUCUGAGAGGACGAUCAGCCACACUGGGACUGAGACACGGCCCAGACUCCUACGGGAGGCAGCAGUGGGGAAUUUUGGACAAUGGGCGAAAGCCUGAUCCAGCAAUGCCGCGUGAGUGAAGAAGGCCUCGGUUGUAAGACUCUUUCUAGUCGAGAAGAAAAGACUAUAUUAAAUAAAUAAUAAGACUAAUAGACGGUA
Molecule: ribosomal RNA, 459 nt
Filed under: uncultured bacterium
Lineage: Bacteria
Description: bacterial SSU rRNA
Rfam family: Bacterial small subunit ribosomal RNA
Source: RNAcentral